UGAGGAAUAUUGCGCAAUGGAGGAAACUCUGACGCAGCCAUGCCGCGUGAAGGAUUGAAUGCCCUAUGGGUUGUAAACUUCUUUUGUACAGGAAAAAACCCUUGCUCGUGAGCGAGGUUGAGGGUACCGUAAGAAUAAGCACCGGCUAACUCCGUGCCAGCAGCCGCGGUAAUACGGAGGGUGCAAGCGUUAUCCGGAUUUAUUGGGUUUAAAGGGUCCGUAGGCGGAUCGUUAAGUCAGUGGUGAAAGCCCACAGCUCAACUGUGGAACUGCCAUUGAUACUGGCGAUCUUGAGUGCGUGUGAAGUUAGCGGAAUGUGUGGUGUAGCGGUGAAAUGCGUAGAUAUCAAGAGGAACACCUGAGGUGAAGACGGGUUGCUGGGCUGACACUGACGCUGAGGCGCGAAAGCCAGGGGAGCAAACGGGAUUAGAUACCCCUGUAGUCCCUGAGCGGGCUGGCAAGGCGCAU
This 468-nucleotide ribosomal RNA is filed under the name uncultured bacterium. RNAcentral's name for it is "bacterial SSU rRNA". It matches the Rfam family "Bacterial small subunit ribosomal RNA", at positions 355 to 825 of the family's 1533-position model. The record is from RNAcentral.